This 497-nucleotide ribosomal RNA is filed under the name uncultured bacterium. RNAcentral's name for it is "partial 16S ribosomal RNA". It matches the Rfam family "Bacterial small subunit ribosomal RNA", at positions 28 to 507 of the family's 1533-position model. The record is from RNAcentral.
GAUGAACGCUGGCGGCGUGCCUAAUACAUGCAAGUCGAGCGAACGGACGAGAAGCUUGCUUCUCUGAUGUUAGCGGCGGACGGGUGAGUAACACGUGGAUAACCUACCUAUAAGACUGGGAUAACUUCGGGAAACCGGAGCUAAUACCGGAUAAUAUUUUGAACCGCAUGGUUCAAAAGUGAAAGACGGUCUUGCUGUCACUUAUAGAUGGAUCCGCGCUGCAUUAGCUAGUUGGUAAGGUAACGGCUUACCAAGGCAACGAUGCAUAGCCGACCUGAGAGGGUGAUCGGCCACACUGGAACUGAGACACGGUCCAGACUCCUACGGGAGGCAGCAGUAGGGAAUCUUCCGCAAUGGGCGAAAGCCUGACGGAGCAACGCCGCGUGAGUGAUGAAGGUCUUCGGAUCGUAAAACUCUGUUAUUAGGGAAGAACAUAUGUGUAAGUAACUGUGCACAUCUUGACGGUACCUAAUCAGCAAGCCACGGCUAACUACGUG